This 735-nucleotide non-coding RNA is filed under the name Halice sp. JL-2018. Lineage: Eukaryota; Metazoa; Arthropoda; Malacostraca; Amphipoda; Pardaliscidae. The record is from RNAcentral.
UUAAGGUAUACAUAUACAAUAAAAAAAAAAUUAAUUCUUGCUAAAGAUUAAGUAAUAAGAUGAGAGAUAUAAAAAAUUUUUGUUCUUUUAGUUAAAUAUAGAUUAUUAAAUUUUGUUGUUGAAGGUGUCAGGUUCUUUUUAUUAUAUGUAAAUAGUUUAGGUAUUUUUAUUAAUUAGUAGUAAAAUUUGUGCCAGCAACUGCGGUUAGACUAAUACUAAAUUAAUUUUUUUAAAGAUAUAGUUAAUAAAUUAAAAUAAUGUAGUAUAUUUUAUUGGUGAAAUGAAAUUUUGUAUAUUUAAAUAAUAUUUUAUAUGAGAGAUAUAAUAAAACUAGGAUUAGAUACCCUAUUAUAAAUAAAAAAUUAAAAGAGUAUAGAUAAAAUAAAAGAAUUUGGCGGCCUUAGAAGUCUAUUUAGAGGAACUUGUUUUAUAAUCGAUAAUCCUCGAGAUAAAUAACUGGUUUUUUUUUUAUAUACCGCCAUUUAAGCAUUUUUUUAAAAAAAAGUUUAUUUAGUUUUUAAAAAAUAGGUCAAGGUGUAGAUAUGAGUCAGUAAAAAUUAGUUACAUUAUAAAUUAAUAAGCGGAAUGUUGAUUAGUUAUUUGGCAUAAAGUAGGAUUUAAUGGUAAAUUAUUAAAUUAUAUUUAAUUGAAAUAGCGCUUUUUGGUGUACAAAUUGCCCGUCACUCUCUUUGAGAUAAGUCGAAACAUAGUAGGUUAACUGGAAAGUUAACCUAG